Molecule: long non-coding RNA, 1051 nt
Filed under: Equus caballus (horse)
Lineage: Eukaryota; Metazoa; Chordata; Mammalia; Perissodactyla; Equidae
Description: lncRNA (ENSECAG00000055388.1)
Source: RNAcentral
CAAUGGCUUCUCAUCGUGCUUGGGUACGUUCUACUCCAAGGCGUGAGGACAGGCAUCUGCCUUGUUCUUCUGCACUGGGGAUGAAGGUGCCCAGACGGCACCGCACCUGCCCUCCCAGAUCUCCUUUCCCAGCACCUGGGUUGUAGGAAGAUGUGACAGCUUUGCUGUCCCAGCACCUCCCUGGACUGGAGGUGGACCUCCUGCCCACGACAAGGCAUCUGCUAUCCCAGGACGAGGAGCUUCGGGAGCCCAAGGACACCUGGUUGGAUUUCGUUUGGACUUCAUCGCAUUUGCAGCCUCUUAAGAAUGGAAAGGAAUGUUUGUGUCAGCCCUGAUCCUUGCUUCCCAAUGCAGGGGAGAGGGGUGCGGCUUGCGGCCUCUAGUACAGUACAGCAUUGCACGUUAGAAAUGUGGCAAAGCUGCACCGAACAACAUUGGGACAACAGAGAGAGGACAAAGAUGACUGAGGACCUUUGACCCGAGCACACCAUUGUUAUCCCUUGUCUGCAUUCUCUUGCCAUCUUUUUUCUUUACAUCAUUUCACAUCGCAACCCAAACAUUUUCCAUGCUAACAUAGAGUGUUCUUAACCUUCUUUUGAAUCAUUUGUAAUUUACCACUACUUGAGUCAUCACUCCAACUAGACAUUGUUAUGGGUUAAAUUGUGUCUCCCCUGAAUUCAUAUGUUGGAGUCCUAACUCCCAGAAUGUGCCCUUAUUUGGAGAUACGGUCUUUAGGGAGGUAAUAGAGUUGAAAUGAGGUCAUUAAGGUGGGUUCCAAAUCCAAUGACUGGUGUCCUUAUAAAAACGAGAAAUUUGGACCCAGAGACAGACAUGCAUAGAGGGAAGACGAUGUGAAGAUAUGGGGAGAAGACAGCCAUCCACAAGCCAAGGAGAGAGGCCUGGAGCAGAUUCUCCCUCACAGCCUCAGAAGGAACCAACCCCGCUGAUAUCACAGUUCCGGCCUCUAGAACUGGGAGACAAUAAAGUCCUACUGUUUUAAGCCACCAAAUCUAUGGUACUCUGUUACGGCAGCCCCAGUAAACUAACGCAG